UAGCAGUGAACUACAGGGUCUU
This 22-nucleotide non-coding RNA is filed under the name Mus musculus (house mouse). Lineage: Eukaryota; Metazoa; Chordata; Mammalia; Rodentia; Muridae. The record is from RNAcentral. RNAcentral also lists the same sequence under 1 other name.